CAGGCACCUAAGCUGUUUGUUAUAGCAGCACUUUAAACAGGAGGUGCUAGCAGCAAGCAAUCUCAUCGCCUUUGGGGACUAGGGCUGUGCCCCUCAAAGUGAACUGGGAGGCUCUCCAUCC
Eptesicus fuscus (big brown bat) is the source of this 121-nucleotide small nucleolar RNA. RefSeq annotates it as small nucleolar RNA SNORA68. The transcript has a single exon. NCBI's taxonomy places the organism in Eukaryota, Metazoa, Chordata, Mammalia, Chiroptera, Vespertilionidae. The record is from RefSeq and is a predicted model, not a curated record.